This is a non-coding RNA of Anopheles gambiae str. PEST, 194 nucleotides long. It matches the Rfam family "drz-agam-2-2 ribozyme". The record is from Rfam. Lineage: Eukaryota; Metazoa; Arthropoda; Insecta; Diptera; Culicidae.
GAACGCGGAUGCUCUGCAAUCGGAUGGGAUCCGAAGCGCCUUGAUGGAUAAUACAGGCUCUCGCAUCCAAAUCCUAUUCCGACACGUCUUUGUCGUGCAGAGUGGUAACGUGUGCCAUCACAUAUCCAAGCUUGGGUACACGGACUUGACCCAACCCCUUGGACGAAUGGUGGCAUAUGGCGAACCAGGAGGGG